This 565-nucleotide ribosomal RNA is filed under the name Clostridioides difficile. RNAcentral's name for it is "bacterial SSU rRNA". It matches the Rfam family "Bacterial small subunit ribosomal RNA", at positions 233 to 816 of the family's 1533-position model. Lineage: Bacteria; Bacillati; Bacillota; Clostridia; Peptostreptococcales; Peptostreptococcaceae. The record is from RNAcentral.
GCGUCUGAUUAGCUAGUUGGUAAGGUAACGGCUUACCAAGGCGACGAUCAGUAGCCGACCUGAGAGGGUGAUCGGCCACAUUGGAACUGAGACACGGUCCAAACUCCUACGGGAGGCAGCAGUGGGGAAUAUUGCACAAUGGGCGAAAGCCUGAUGCAGCAACGCCGCGUGAGUGAUGAAGGCCUUCGGGUCGUAAAACUCUGUCCUCAAGGAAGAUAAUGACGGUACUUGAGGAGGAAGCCCCGGCUAACUACGUGCCAGCAGCCGCGGUAAUACGUAGGGGGCUAGCGUUAUCCGGAUUUACUGGGCGUAAAGGGUGCGUAGGCGGUCUUUCAAGUCAGGAGUGAAAGGCUACGGCUCAACCGUAGUAAGCUCUUGAAACUGGGAGACUUGAGUGCAGGAGAGGAGAGUGGAAUUCCUAGUGUAGCGGUGAAAUGCGUAGAUAUUAGGAGGAACACCAGUUGCGAAGGCGGCUCUCUGGACUGUAACUGACGCUGAGGCACGAAAGCGUGGGGAGCAAACAGGAUUAGAUACCCUGGUAGUCCACGCUGUAAACGAUGAGUAC